GAUGAACGCUGGCGGCGUGCUUAACACAUGCAAGUCGAACGAUGAAGCCCAGCUUGCUGGGUGGAUUAGUGGCGAACGGGUGAGUAACACGUGAGUAACCUGCCCUUAACUCUGGGAUAAGCCUGGGAAACUGGGUCUAAUACCGGAUAGGAGCGCCUACCGCAUGGUGGGUGUUGGAAAGAUUUAUCGGUUUUGGAUGGACUCGCGGCCUAUCAGCUUGUUGGUGAGGUAAUGGCUCACCAAGGCGACGACGGGUAGCCGGCCUGAGAGGGUGACCGGCCACACUGGGGCUGAGACACGGCCCAGACUCCUACGGGAGGCAGCAGUGGGGAAUAUUGCACAAUGGGCGAAAGCCUGAUGCAGCGACGCCGCGUGAGGGAUGACGGCCUUCGGGUUGUAAACCUCUUUCAGUAGGGAAGAAGCGAAAGUGACGGUACCUGCAGAAGAAGCACCGGCUAACUACGUG
Molecule: ribosomal RNA, 466 nt
Filed under: uncultured bacterium
Lineage: Bacteria
Description: partial 16S ribosomal RNA
Rfam family: Bacterial small subunit ribosomal RNA
Source: RNAcentral